UACGUAGGGGGCUAGCGUUGUCCGGAAUCAUUGGGCGUAAAGCGCGUGUAGGCGGUCCGGUAAGUCCGCUGUGAAAGUCGGGGGCUCAACCCUCGGAUGCCGGUGGAUACUGUCGGGCUUGAGUACGGAAGAGGCGAGUGGAAUUCCUGGUGUAGCGGUGAAAUGCGCAGAUAUCAGGAGGAACACCAAUUGCGAAGGCAGCUCGCUGGGACGUUACUGACGCUGAGACGCGAAAACGUGGGGAGCAAACAGG
This 253-nucleotide ribosomal RNA is filed under the name uncultured bacterium. Its description in RNAcentral is "partial 16S ribosomal RNA". It matches the Rfam family "Bacterial small subunit ribosomal RNA", at positions 524 to 776 of the family's 1533-position model. The record is from RNAcentral.